CAGGGCUUUCCUGAUGGUCUCCUUUGCCUUCCUUCUCCACUAAGGAGGACAGCCAGCAGCAGCUCAGCCCAUGCUGUUAACCCACCUUUUCCACACACGCCAGCCCCCUGUCCACAGCACCCAAGGCUGCCUGAGGGAUCCUUCCGCAGCUCCUAUGCGCUGACAGUGACUCUCGUGUUUCCUAGGUUUCAAGUUUCUUUCAGCAGAGCUUCCUAGAGAGAAGUCCACAGAGAAAGUCGUGGCCGUUUUCAAAGUGAGAUCUUUCUUUGACUAAGAUGGGAAUUGUAUUUCUCUUGGCUUCUUCCUAUUUCAUUUGAAUUAAGAUAUGCAAACCUUACCAUGGACAUUAUAGAUAAGUUACAGAAUUUCUUGGUGGGAAAAUGUGAGAGUUCAUGACCAGCUAGGUCAUGAUGGCACGCAUAGAUGACACCUUCAGUUACAAACUGUGUGCAGGUAACCUUUUCCUCAGGAGAAGUGCUUACUGUUUGAAAACAAUGGUGAAUUUGCAACAAAAAUCAUAUGAAAGUCUUAGACAAAACUCUCGUGCCUGCCUUUCCACAAGUGUCUUCUAGGCUUUAUUUUGGAGCCAUUGCAUCGAACACUAUUUCUCAUCUGGUUUUCUAAUGUCAGCCACUGAAGAAAAGACCUGUGCACACAGGACACAGCCUGGUCUGACGCUCACGGUGUUUUCCUUUCUCUCUGCAGAGGGACUCAGCGCUUUGGGCAAGCGGUCCCAUGGAGGGUCCCGUGGAAAAAUUCAUCUAUGAAUCAGAUGAGGAGGCCCCACGACAGUGGCAGGCCGGCGGACUGCCUGAAGAAAAAGGUGUGUGUGCUGGAAUCACUCCUUUGCUAAGAAAAGAUCGUCAGGGUUGCAAAAGGUGGCACUUGCUCGCCUGCUUUUGCUGGAGAGCCACUUUGGUUUGAGCUUCCUGAGAGAAAUGAGGUUUGGACAGUUUGGUAUAAAAAACACUGAGUCCAGCAGAGAACUAUGACCAUCACUCGAAUCCGGGGAGGCAGGAUUGUCAUGUAGAUGGAACAGUGUGUUGUGCCUCAGGGUCGGGAGGUACGGAGGAGAGAGUCAUGUGGAGGGAUUGGGAAUGUCUUUGGGAGUGUGUGGGCAUUUCCCCAGAAAGCAUGUUCCCCUGUGCAGAGCACAACCCAAGGAGCAAUGUUUCUAAGAAGUUGCAUCACCACUGCACACUUCACAUAAAGUAACGCAUUCAUCCUCCCCCACAGCUGUACCUGAAGGUAAAUUUUAUAUCCUCAUCCUCAGAUAGAGACGGUGCAGAGAUGAAUUUCCCAGGCUCUCAAUCUCCUAAAUGGAAGAGGCGAAUGUGAACUCAGCAAUGGGAGGAGGAUUGGUACAGUGGGUGACUAUUGUGCAUUCACCAGCCAGCCCUGGUAUAACUCACCAUUAGUCCAGGGAGUUCCGGCCUCUGUGUGUGCAUGUGGAAGGAGGAGAGCCUAGAGAGGUCCCAACACUGUCUGUCAUUGUAGGCAGGGCUCAAAGGCUGCCUAACCCAGGGUUGCAGUAGGUACAUUUUACACUGGACUUUGGUGUGGUCAUUAGUGUGAAACACACAGAGCGAGCUCACAGGCUUCUGGCAGUAGUGGUGGGGUCAUUUCUCAGCUCGUGGUCAAAAGCAG
Molecule: long non-coding RNA, 1647 nt
Filed under: Macaca nemestrina (pig-tailed macaque)
Lineage: Eukaryota; Metazoa; Chordata; Mammalia; Primates; Cercopithecidae
Description: lncRNA (ENSMNEG00000045785.1)
Source: RNAcentral